GUCCAUGCCGUAAACGUUGUAUACUAGGUGCGGGAGGUAUCGACCCCUUCCGUGCCGAAGCUAACGCAUUAAGUAUACCGCCUGGGGAGUACGCGCGCAAGCGUGAAACUCAAAGGAAUUGACGGGGCCCGCACAAGCGGUGGAGCAUGUGGUUUAAUUCGAGGCAACGCGAAGAACCUUACCCAGGCUUGACAUCCCAAGACCGCCUAUGAAAGUAGGUUUUCCCUUCGGGGACUUGGAGACAGGUGUUGCAUGGCUGUCGU
RNAcentral lists this ribosomal RNA (263 nucleotides) under uncultured bacterium. Its description in RNAcentral is "partial 16S ribosomal RNA". It matches the Rfam family "Bacterial small subunit ribosomal RNA", at positions 793 to 1055 of the family's 1533-position model. The record is from RNAcentral.